UACCUGCAGCUCAAGUGGUGGCCGCUAUUAUUGGGCCUAAAACGUCCGUAGCCUGCUGAGUAAAUGCCUGGGUAAAUCGUGUCGCUUAACGAUACGAAUUCCGGGUAGACUGCUUAGCUUGAGACCGGAAGAAGUUAGAGGUACUCCUGGGGUAGGGGUGAAAUCCUGUAAUCCUGGGGGGACCACCAGUGGCGAAGGCGUCUAACUAGGACGGGUCUGACGGUGAGGGACGAAACCCUGGGGCGCAAACCGGAUUAGAUACCCGGGUAGUCCAGGGCGCAAACGCUGCUUGCUUGAUGUUAGCUGGGCUCCGAGCUCGGCUAGUGUCGGAGAGAAGUUGUUAAGCAAGCUGCCUGGGAAUACGAUCGCAAGAUUGAAACUUAAAGGAUUGGCGGGGAGCACAGCAACGGGUGGAGCGUGCGGUUU
This 426-nucleotide ribosomal RNA is filed under the name uncultured archaeon. RNAcentral's name for it is "bacterial SSU rRNA". It matches the Rfam family "Archaeal small subunit ribosomal RNA", at positions 474 to 903 of the family's 1478-position model. The record is from RNAcentral.